UUAAGCGACUAAGCGUACACGGUGGAUGCCCUGGCAGUCAGAGGCGAUGAAGGACGUGCUAAUCUGCGAUAAGCGUCGGUAAGGUGAUAUGAACCGUUAUAACCGGCGAUUUCCGAAUGGGGAAACCCAGUGUGUUUCGACACACUAUCAUUAACUGAAUCCAUAGGUUAAUGAGGCGAACCGGGGGAACUGAAACAUCUAAGUACCCCGAGGAAAAGAAAUCAACCGAGAUUCCCCCAGUAGCGGCGAGCGAACGGGGAGCAGCCCAGAGCCUGAAUCAGUGUGUGUGUUAGUGGAAGCGUCUGGAAAGGCGUGCGAUACAGGGUGACAGCCCCGUACACAAAAAUGCACAUAUUGUGAGCUCGAUGAGUAGGGCGGGACACGUGGUAUCCUGUCUGAAUAUGGGGGGACCAUCCUCCAAGGCUAAAUACUCCUGACUGACCGAUAGUGAACCAGUACCGUGAGGGAAAGGCGAAAAGAACCCCGGCGAGGGGAGUGAAAAAGAACCUGAAACCGUGUACGUACAAGCAGUGGGAGCCUCUUUUAUGGGGUGACUGCGUACCUUUUGUAUAAUGGGUCAGCGACUUAUAUUCUGUAGCAAGGUUAACCGAAUAGGGGAGCCGAAGGGAAACCGAGUCUUAACUGGGCGUUAAGUUGCAGGGUAUAGACCCGAAACCCGGUGAUCUAGCCAUGGGCAGGUUGAAGGUUGGGUAACACUAACUGGAGGACCGAACCGACUAAUGUUGAAAAAUUAGCGGAUGACUUGUGGCUGGGGGUGAAAGGCCAAUCAAACCGGGAGAUAGCUGGUUCUCCCCGAAAGCUAUUUAGGUAGCGCCUCGUGAAUUCAUCUCCGGGGGUAGAGCACUGUUUCGGCAAGGGGGUCAUCCCGACUUACCAACCCGAUGCAAACUGCGAAUACCGGAGAAUGUUAUCACGGGAGACACACGGCGGGUGCUAACGUCCGUCGUGAAGAGGGAAACAACCCAGACCGCCAGCUAAGGUCCCAAAGUCAUGGUUAAGUGGGAAACGAUGUGGGAAGGCCCAGACAGCCAGGAUGUUGGCUUAGAAGCAGCCAUCAUUUAAAGAAAGCGUAAUAGCUCACUGGUCGAGUCGGCCUGCGCGGAAGAUGUAACGGGGCUAAACCAUGCACCGAAGCUGCGGCAGCGACGCUUAUGCGUUGUUGGGUAGGGGAGCGUUCUGUAAGCCUGUGAAGGUGUGCUGUGAGGCAUGCUGGAGGUAUCAGAAGUGCGAAUGCUGACAUAAGUAACGAUAAAGCGGGUGAAAAGCCCGCUCGCCGGAAGACCAAGGGUUCCUGUCCAACGUUAAUCGGGGCAGGGUGAGUCGACCCCUAAGGCGAGGCCGAAAGGCGUAGUCGAUGGGAAACAGGUUAAUAUUCCUGUACUUGGUGUUACUGCGAAGGGGGGACGGAGAAGGCUAUGUUGGCCGGGCGACGGUUGUCCCGGUUUAAGCGUGUAGGCUGGUUUUCCAGGCAAAUCCGGAAAAUCAAGGCUGAGGCGUGAUGACGAGGCACUACGGUGCUGAAGCAACAAAUGCCCUGCUUCCAGGAAAAGCCUCUAAGCAUCAGGUAACAUCAAAUCGUACCCCAAACCGACACAGGUGGUCAGGUAGAGAAUACCAAGGCGCUUGAGAGAACUCGGGUGAAGGAACUAGGCAAAAUGGUGCCGUAACUUCGGGAGAAGGCACGCUGAUAUGUAGGUGAAGUCCCUUGCGGAUGGAGCUGAAAUCAGUCGAAGAUACCAGCUGGCUGCAACUGUUUAUUAAAAACACAGCACUGUGCAAACACGAAAGUGGACGUAUACGGUGUGACGCCUGCCCGGUGCCGGAAGGUUAAUUGAUGGGGUCAGCGCAAGCGAAGCUCUUGAUCGAAGCCCCGGUAAACGGCGGCCGUAACUAUAACGGUCCUAAGGUAGCGAAAUUCCUUGUCGGGUAAGUUCCGACCUGCACGAAUGGCGUAAUGAUGGCCAGGCUGUCUCCACCCGAGACUCAGUGAAAUUGAACUCGCUGUGAAGAUGCAGUGUACCCGCGGCAAGACGGAAAGACCCCGUGAACCUUUACUAUAGCUUGACACUGAACAUUGAGCCUUGAUGUGUAGGAUAGGUGGGAGGCUUUGAAGUGUGGACGCCAGUCUGCAUGGAGCCGACCUUGAAAUACCACCCUUUAAUGUUUGAUGUUCUAACGUGGACCCGUGAUCCGGGUUGCGGACAGUGUCUGGUGGGUAGUUUGACUGGGGCGGUCUCCUCCUAAAGAGUAACGGAGGAGCACGAAGGUUGGCUAAUCCUGGUCGGACAUCAGGAGGUUAGUGCAAUGGCAUAAGCCAGCUUGACUGCGAGCGUGACGGCGCGAGCAGGUGCGAAAGCAGGUCAUAGUGAUCCGGUGGUUCUGAAUGGAAGGGCCAUCGCUCAACGGAUAAAAGGUACUCCGGGGAUAACAGGCUGAUACCGCCCAAGAGUUCAUAUCGACGGCGGUGUUUGGCACCUCGAUGUCGGCUCAUCACAUCCUGGGGCUGAAGUAGGUCCCAAGGGUAUGGCUGUUCGCCAUUUAAAGUGGUACGCGAGCUGGGUUUAGAACGUCGUGAGACAGUUCGGUCCCUAUCUGCCGUGGGCGCUGGAGAACUGAGGGGGGCUGCUCCUAGUACGAGAGGACCGGAGUGGACGCAUCACUGGUGUUCGGGUUGUCAUGCCAAUGGCACUGCCCGGUAGCUAAAUGCGGAAGAGAUAAGUGCUGAAAGCAUCUAAGCACGAAACUUGCCCCGAGAUGAGUUCUCCCUGACCCUUUAAGGGUCCUGAAGGAACGUUGAAGACGACGACGUUGAUAGGCCGGGUGUGUAAGCGCAGCGAUGCGUUGAGCUAACCGGUACUAAUGAACCGUGAGGCUUAACCUU
RNAcentral lists this ribosomal RNA (2902 nucleotides) under Escherichia coli. RNAcentral's name for it is "23S ribosomal RNA". It matches the Rfam family "Bacterial large subunit ribosomal RNA". The record is from RNAcentral. Lineage: Bacteria; Pseudomonadati; Pseudomonadota; Gammaproteobacteria; Enterobacterales; Enterobacteriaceae.